UAUUCCUACGGGGCGCAGCAGUGGGGGAUAUUGCACAAUGGGGGGAACCCUGAUGCAGCGACGCCGCGUGAAGGAAGAAGUAUCUCGGUAUGUAAACUUCUAUCAGCAGGGAAGAAAAUGACGGUACCUGACUAAGAAGCCCCGGCUAACUACGUGCCAGCAGCCGCGGUAAUACGUAGGGGGCAAGCGUUAUCCGGAAUUACUGGGUGUAAAGGGAGCGUAGACGGUGAUGCAAGUCUGGAGUGAAAGGCGGGGGCCCAACCCCCGGACUGCUCUGGAAACUGUAUGACUUGA
RNAcentral lists this ribosomal RNA (294 nucleotides) under uncultured bacterium. Its description in RNAcentral is "partial 16S ribosomal RNA". It matches the Rfam family "Bacterial small subunit ribosomal RNA", at positions 334 to 645 of the family's 1533-position model. The record is from RNAcentral.